GACGAACGCUGGCGGCGUGCCUAUUACAUGCAAGUAGAACGCUGAAGGAGGAGCUUGCUUCUCUGGAUGAGUUGCGAACGGGUGAGUAACGCGUAGGUAACCUGCCUGGUAGCGGGGGAUAACUAUUGGAAACGAUAGCUAAUACCGCAUAAGAGUAGAUGUUGCAUGACAUUUGCUUAAAAGGUGCAAUUGCAUCACUACCAGAUGGACCUGCGUUGUAUUAGCUAGUUGGUGGGGUAACGGCUUACCAAGGCGACGAUACAUAGCCGACCUGAGAGGGGGAUAGGCCAAACUGGGACUGAGAAAAGGCCCAGAAUCCUACGGGAGGCAGCAGUAGGGAAUCUUCGGCAAUGGACGGAAGUCUGACCGAGCAACGCCGCGUGAGUGAAGAAGGGUUUCGGAUCGUAAAGCUCUGUUGUAAGAGAAGAACGAGUGUGAGAGUGGAAAGUUCACACUGUGACGGUAUCUUACCAGAAAGGGACGGCUAACUACGUG
RNAcentral lists this ribosomal RNA (495 nucleotides) under uncultured bacterium. RNAcentral describes it as "partial 16S ribosomal RNA". It matches the Rfam family "Bacterial small subunit ribosomal RNA", at positions 28 to 507 of the family's 1533-position model. The record is from RNAcentral.